AACGAACGCUGGCGGCAUGCCUAACACAUGCAAGUCGAACGAGACCGGCUGGUCCUGGUGCGCACUGGUGCGUAACGCGAGGGAACCUUCCCGUAGGGGCGGAAUAACUUCCCGCAAGGGGCGCCAAUACCGGACGAUGUCUACUGCCCAAUGAUUUCUUGCCAUUGGAUGGGUACGCGUUGGAUUAGCUAGUUGGUAGGGUAAAAGCCAACCAAGGCGACGAUCCAUAGCUGGUCUGAGAGGAUGAUCCGCCACACUGGGACUGAGACACGGCCAAGACUCCUACGGGAGGCAGCAGUGGGGAAUAUUGGACGAUGGGCGAAAGCAUGAUCCUGCAAUGCCGCGUGAGUGAUGAAGGCCUUAGGGUUGUAAGGCUCUUUUAAACGGGAUGCUAGUGACGGUACCGGGAGAAUAAGCUCCGGCUAACUACGUG
This 433-nucleotide ribosomal RNA is filed under the name uncultured bacterium. RNAcentral describes it as "partial 16S ribosomal RNA". It matches the Rfam family "Bacterial small subunit ribosomal RNA", at positions 29 to 507 of the family's 1533-position model. The record is from RNAcentral.